RNAcentral lists this non-coding RNA (28 nucleotides) under Bombyx mori (domestic silkworm). The record is from RNAcentral. Lineage: Eukaryota; Metazoa; Arthropoda; Insecta; Lepidoptera; Bombycidae.
UGUCCAGUCAUCUGGGAUGUCUUCGGUC